AUGCAUGUUAUCCGAGAACUGCAGCGUUAGUUGGUGGUUGUGGAUUCUCCAACAACAUGCUAUAGAGUUGGAGAGACUUUGCCAGCUUUGGUCUUGCAUUUCCAAUGUCUGUCACUCAACUCUCCUACAUUC
Molecule: small nucleolar RNA, 132 nt
Organism: Amblyraja radiata (thorny skate)
Lineage: Eukaryota; Metazoa; Chordata; Chondrichthyes; Rajiformes; Rajidae
Product: small nucleolar RNA SNORA44
Exons: 1
Source: RefSeq, a predicted model, not a curated record